AUUGAUCGCUUUCUUUUACACUAUUAAUGCUAAUUGUUUUUCAUGGUGCAUGCCUUUGGGAUUCAUCAAAAUGAAUUCUUAACGAAUUUCCAAACACAAAAAUUAUAGCAGAAUAACGGAUAGAAGUAAAUCAUCCUACCAUUUCUCAAAGGCCUUCUGUUCUGAAGGGCCCGGGCAGUAUGAGGUGGAAUCACGAGUGUCUGUAAGGUUUGAGAUAUCGAUGUGAACAGCCAUAGGUGAGUGUGUGGACAUUACAACUGGCUACAGUGUUUGAGCACCUACUGUGUGCCAGGUCCUGGGCUAAGACAUUUACAAACGUUGUUUCAUUGAAUCCUCACAACAGUGCCAAGGUCAGUUUUAUUAUUCCCACUUUAUUUACUAAGAAACUGAGACCCAAAGAGGUUUCUACAUCUAUCGAGUGGAAGAGCCCAAGUACGAGUCCAGUUCUAUUUGUCUCUGAAGUGCAUGUACUUUCCGCUUGGCCACUCUCCAUGCUGAGCUGCUAUCAACAUUGCUGCAAUCAGUUCAUUCCAGGGAACUUUAUCACUAUUUCUGCCUGUCUGUCUGACUCAGCAUUAACCUUGAGCCUUCCUGCCAAAGGAGCUCCAGUCACAGCACACACCUCACGCCUUGGUCAGUCCCCUCUAGGCCAUCAGAUCAGUCAAAAGUCAUCGCUGUGCCCUCUUGUCUCUCUUGGCAAGACUACUGCUUGUCUCCCCUUAUUCCUCAGUAAUAACAUUUUAGCUUGACACGUGGCUCUAGCUAAAGACUACAUUUCCCAGAAUUCCUUGCAGCUAGGCACAGACUUAUGACUAAUAGGAAGUGAACAGACUUGAUGUGUGCCAAAUGUGGGUUCUGCCUUUAAAGAAAGAAAAAGUGCUUCUUCCCAUCUUCUUUCCAUCUUCCUGCUGUCUGGGAUUCAGGUAUGAUGGUGGGAGUUGAAGCAGCCAUCUCUAACCAUGAGACAGAAACUGCGUGGUGAGGAUAACAAAGCAAUAAGCUAGAAGGAGCCUGGGUCCCUAAUGCUAGGAGGUGCCAUCCCAGCCCUGAACUGCAUGCCUGGACUUGUCUGUGAGAGAAAAUUAAAUACCUUUCUUGUGUUUAAGAAACUAUUAUUUCCAUCCUCUGUUAUAGUAGCCAACUUUAUCCCAACUAAUGUAGCUGCCCAAGACAGUGCUGAUGGAUGUGGCAGGCUGAAUAAUGAACCACCAACGAUGUCCAUGUCCUAAUCUCCAGCACCUGUGAAUAUGUUACUUUACGUGGUAAAAGGGAUGUUGUAGACGUGAUUAAUUUAAGCAUCUUGAGAUGGCAAGUUUAUCUCGGGUUAUCCCAGUGGACUUAAUGUUUGUUUGUUUGUUUGUUUGUUUGAGGAAGAUUAGCCCUGAGCUAACAUCUGCCAAUCCUCCUCUUUUUGCUGAGGAAGGCUGGCCCUGAGCUAACAUCCGUGCCCAUCUUCCUCUACUUUAUAUGUGGGACGCCUGCCACAGCAUGGCUUGCCAAGCGGUGCCAUGUCCACACCCGAGAUCCGAACCAGCGAACCCCGGGCCACCAAAGCGGAACGUGCGCACUUAACCACUGCGCCACCGGACUGGCCCCCACUGGACUCAAUGUAAUCACAAGAGUCCUUACAACAGGGAGGCAUGGGUCAGAUAUAUAGCAAGAAAGCAGCGUGACAAGAGAAGCAGAGGGAAGCAGAGUCAGAGAGAAAAGAUGGUACGUCACCAGCUUUGAAGAUGGAGGAAGCGACCACAAGCCAAGGAAUGCAAGCAGCCUCUAGAAGCCAGAAAAGGCAAAGAAAGAGAUCCUCCAGAGAGCCUCAAGAAGGAACACAGGAUGUUUGCAUAAUCUCAAAGCAUCUCUCUACAAGAUCCUCAUUAAUUACAAAGGAGAAAGUAUUAGUUCCAUAGUUUACAGUGGAGACACCACCUUUAUCAAGUGACAUCACCAGGAAUGACACCUUGACUUCAUGCUCAUCCCAAUACCUUGCACUCAGAAGGACACCACAUCACUGCUAUAGGAUUCGUGCAAAAAUGCAUGCUCUGAAUUUGAUCAUGGGGAAACAUCCGAUAAAGCUAAAUUUGAGACAGUCCACUAAAUAACCAGCCUGUACUCUUCAAAAGUGCCACAGCCAUGAAAGACAGAGGAAGCCCAAGGACCUGUCACCGAUGAGAAGAGCCGAAAGCAGCAUCACAACUAAAGAAACUGGACCAGAUCCUGGGCCAGGAAAAGAACCCUCUCCAGGUGGUGGCAUUAGCUAUAUUUACUGGUGAGGACACUGGGGUCAAGGAGGGAAAGAAACGGAGGCCCAGAGAGGUGAAGUAACUUGCUCAAGGCCACACAGCAUUCUGUGGCAGUGUCUCCAGGAGGCUGCAGUAUUAUUCCCAGGAAUGAUAUUCCCAGUUCCAACCAUUUUGGUUGGGGCCUUGAUGACGGUGCCUUCCCGAUCCAGUUCUCAGUUCCCCCUCAGUGGCUUUCUCUGGGGCGCAGUCUCCUUCCCUACAAUGGAAGGAGUUGCCCAUCUCUGUCCCGUCUCUCCAGACGGCUGCAGCAGCCUCCUAAUUGGUCGCUUCAUGCCCAUUCUUUCUCCUCUCCAACCUCACUUGUCAGCCAAUGGUCUCUUCAAAAUAGAAGUCUGACCACGUCUUCUUCCUGCUCAACGCUCACCCCUGGCUCCCCGGGAGGCCCUGCACGCCCUGGGCUUUUUACAAACUGGUCCCUGCUGCGUCUUCCGCUCCUCUCUUCCCACUCCCCCCGCUUCGCCCUCAGCCACACUGGCUUCUGAUUGUAGCUGUUCCUCAAAAGAGCUGGGCUCCUGCCUGGUACAAGGGCUUUGCGCAUGCUUUCCUCUUAGCCUCGGACAUUCUUCCACCUUUUCCCUUUUUGAUCCUAAGUACCACUUAAUGUCUGUCUCGUCCCCUGGAAUGCCAGCGCCGUGAGGGCAGGAAGCGUGUCUGUUUUGUUUCACAGGAGCAUCAUUUAGGAGAUACCUCCCAAACGCGAGCACCCAGAGGGCCGUCAAUAAAGAGAAGCCGGACCAGCGAAUCGGGGACCCUCCGACACUGAUUCGAUGGAGUCGAUCAGAAACCGUCAAGCGACCUGGGCCCCAGAGAUACGGAGUUCCCCAGAUCUGGCUCCUCAGCACUUUCUUCUAUUAUGUGAAGAAAAACAGAACUGGAAAGAGUAACCUUAUGGAGUAUGUUCUAAGUAACACGGAACGUUCUGGAUCCAACAUCUCGGCACACUGCUCUCCUAUGGAAGCUGCUCUGGUCCUUGUCCUGGCUUUUUCAUCACAACCCACCAUGUUCAUGGAACCCAUCAUCCUGUCAACUCCCCCAGAUGAAAACAAAGAGACAAACAAACAGAAACAAGACAUAUGAUUAAACCGUCCUGCACUUCUUAUGUCAGCUCUUCAAACCCCCUCAUUAUCCAGAUGGGAAAACUGAGGCCCCAGAGAGGGUAGAAAGUAGCCUUUUAGGAUCAGGGCUUGGGCUCCGGGCCUCCUGCUGGCCAAGCUCCUGAUGCCCAGCUUUGGGGCAUUUCCUGGAGGAGCAGCUCAUCCCAGCAUGAGAGGCUGGACAUCCCCCUGGGGUACACAUAGGUGGGGGUGCCCAGUCCCAGCGCCAGCCCCAAGCUGGAACCAGAUGAAACCAUCAACAGCUCCUGUGAGGUUCCUGCACGGAAUCUAGCGCAGCGCCUCUCAAAUGUAAGGUGCACACAGAUCACCUGGGAGCUUGUCAGAAUGCAGGUUCUGACCCCCAACGUCUGGGGCGAGGCCUGAGAUUGCAUUUCUAACAUGCUCCCGGGAGAUGCUGAUGCUGCUGGUGCCUGGACCACACUGUGAGGGGUACAGCUCUAGCUCAGGGCUCAGCUGCCUCUUCCUGUAAAAGGCCAGAUAGUAUAUAUUUUAGGCUCUGUGGGCCAAGAGGCAAAAUCGAGAAUGUUACCUAGGUACUUAUAUAACAAAAGAGAAAACAAAUGUCCACAAAUUUUUUAUUGAUGAUAUUCAAAAUAUAAUGAUCAUAAUUGGAUACAAAUUUUUGGAAUACAGGUCUACUAAUGGAAAGACUGAUGUUCUGUUUUGGGAGGGGUAACAUCUCACUCACCUGGGGGUCAGAGUUACUGCUCCUUAUCAUCAAAUUGGUUGCAAAUGUUGAUCUGUAUACACUAUUCCUAGUUCUAGCGCUGUGCACAAAAUAAGUGGCAGCCUGGAUUCGGCCCCCGGGCUGGAGUUUGCCACCCCCUGCUCUAGCCCAGUGGUCAACCUGAGGUUUAUCAAAACUGUCUGGGGAGAUUUUUUUCCCCCUCUAUUCCCAUUGUGGACAAAGGACAGAGAUUCAGGGGCCUGACUGGAUGGGGAGGUUUGCUGCCCUACCAACAGCUCCCAUUCCUUCUCAUGCCUCAGUUUACCUCAGGAAGCUCUGGACAAGGUCACACCCCUGAAACAGACCUCCUGCCUUUGCCUCUAAAUAAACUUUUGUUUUGAAAUUUGCAAAGUCAGUCCAGGUGAAGACAGUUUCCUCAUGGCCGCCCCCGCGUUCCCCUUGCAUGGUGCGUGCUCACGGAAGGGGCCCUGGAGCUGCGGUCUGCCUCACUCAUUUCUAUACCCGAUCAACUGCGAAUUUUCAGACCUGAGCCAUCACAGGUCAGCCAAGAAGCCUGGUGCUCAUAGGCCACGGACAGGGCAGUAGGGAUCACUGGGGGUCAAGACUCAGGUUCUCCAGAGGCGUCUCUUCCCCUCCUGUGCCCUGGCAGUGGUAGUUUUUCUGGUCAUUUCCAGCAUUACUAGAGAACCCAGGUGUCUCCCCUUAGUCUCUGCUCUUCUUCUGAUGUGGGUCAAGGCUGUGUCGAGGCUACCUCCUCUGGUCCAGCUUCUGCUAUGAAGCAGCGAGUUCACAGAGACCCCGGCCUUCCUGCCCCACAGCUAACAAAAUCGUACAGGUGAAAACACCUGGGCCAGGUGUACUUCCAGCUCUGCCACGAACCAGCUGUCCGCUCCUUCCUUAAUUUAUGCUUCUCAUUGCUCAGCAGAGCUCACUGAGAACCUAGCAGGACACCAGGUGCUGGGGAGAGUGACAACGAGCCAGAGCCCCUUCCCCAUCGUCAAGCAGGGGCCAUUCAGCUUAAUUCAAGCUGUUGCCACAAAUGAGAAAACAUUUAUGAAAGCUGCUACUGAGCAGGAAAAUCAUUCAUCAGUCAAGAAACAGGACUGAACCCUCCCUUGAAAUCAUCGAGAACUCCCCAGACCUCACAGGAAAACAGCCAAACUCCUCGGCACUGGCUCUGAAGAUCUUCAUGGCCUCAGCUCACGGGCCUGGCGUCACUUCCUGCCAUGUCACUGGACAGUACACAGUCUGUUUUCAAGCUUUAGUUGCAAGUGGCUCAACCAACAGGGAAGUUGAUUAUAUCACAUAGCAAGGAGUUGGAGGUAGGUGACGGUAGGGCUUGGUUACUCUAGAAGCCCAGUCGUCACCAAAGACUCCAGUGUUCUCCAUCUUUCUGCUUUGCAAUCCCCAGUGGGUUGGCUUGGGCCUUCAGUGGAUUUAAUGUGGGUCCAAGAUGGCUCAUGUGGCCCUGGGUAUCACAAACUCACCUGGCUAUGUCCAUAGAUAGAUACUUCAACUUGAAUGUCUCUUUUUAUGGGGGAGGAAAACCUUUCCCAAAAGUACUCCCCUCCCUUGGAUCAGACCAGCAGCAUAGUAGUUAAGUUCAUGGGUUCAGAUACCAGGUGUGGACC
Molecule: long non-coding RNA, 5734 nt
Organism: Equus caballus (horse)
Lineage: Eukaryota; Metazoa; Chordata; Mammalia; Perissodactyla; Equidae
Source: Ensembl